RNAcentral lists this ribosomal RNA (447 nucleotides) under uncultured bacterium. RNAcentral describes it as "partial 16S ribosomal RNA". It matches the Rfam family "Bacterial small subunit ribosomal RNA", at positions 29 to 523 of the family's 1533-position model. The record is from RNAcentral.
AACGAACGCUGGCGGCAGGCUUAACACAUGCAAGUCGAACGCACCGCAAGGUGAGUGGCGCACGGGUGAGUAACGCGUGGGAAUGUACCGUUUAGUACGGAAUAGCUCCGGGAAACUGGAAUUAAUACCGUAUACGCCCUUCGGGGGAAAGAUUUAUCGCUAAACGAUCAGCCCGCGUGAGAUUAGGUAGUUGGUGGGGUAAUGGCCUACCAAGCCUACGAUCUCCAGCUGGUCUGAGAGGACGAUCAGCCACACUGGAACUGAGACACGGUCCAGACUCCUACGGGAGGCAGCAGUGGGGAAUAUUGGACAAUGGGGGAAACCCUGAUCCAGCCAUGCCGCGUGAAUGAUGAAGGCCUUAGGGUUGUAAAGUUCUUUUACCGAUGAAGAUAAUGACGGUAGUCGGAGAAAAAGCCCCGGCUAACUUCGUGCCAGCCGCCGCUGUAA